Molecule: ribosomal RNA, 253 nt
Filed under: uncultured bacterium
Lineage: Bacteria
Description: partial 16S ribosomal RNA
Rfam family: Bacterial small subunit ribosomal RNA
Source: RNAcentral
GACAGAGGGUGCAAACGUUGUUCGGAUUUACUGGGCGUAAAGCGUGUGUAGGCGGCUUCGCAAGUUGGAUGUGAAAUCCCACGGCUCAACCGUGGACGUGCAUCCAAAACUGCGUCGCUAGAGUCUCGGAGAGGAAGGUGGAAUGCUUGGUGUAGAGGUGAAAUUCGUAGAUAUCAAGCAGAACACCUGCGGCGAAGGCGACCUUCUGGACGAUGACUGACGCUGAGGUGCGAAAGCGUGGGGAGCAAACAGG